Lagenorhynchus albirostris (white-beaked dolphin) is the source of this 593-nucleotide long non-coding RNA. RefSeq lists it as uncharacterized. The record is from RefSeq and is a predicted model, not a curated record. The transcript is spliced from 2 exons. Lineage: Eukaryota; Metazoa; Chordata; Mammalia; Artiodactyla; Delphinidae.
UUUACCCGCUCAGCGCCCAGCGGCUGCCGGCGAAGGGGCGGGGCCUGCGCCGUGACGUUGUGCCGGAGUAAAGGACCACUCUCUCCCCUCGGCUCGUCCCCCAGCCAUUGGCGCGCGGCGGGCCGCCUCCCAGCUGCUGUGCCCGCCUCCUGGAAGCCGAGGCAGGCGACGCGCCACCUGGGCUCGGAGCUAGGACGGGCUGUUUUUGCUUCCACCCCCGCCAGACGAGGAGUGGGACCUCAUGUCGUCCGGAACCCGGGCAGUGGAAGGUGAUGAGGACUCCAAAGGUUGGGCUGAGAGAUGUCCCCGACCCGCCCCACCAGCUGAGACACAAGAGAAAACAAGAUCAAGCGCUCAAUUCUUUUAUGUCCAGGAAUGAGAUCAGAAAUGGGGCCUAAAAUGGUGGUUCAAAGCCUUCGAGAUCCCUUGGACCAGCUGCAUUUCUCCUCAAAUUAUAGAACCAACACUAAACAGACAUCUUUUUAAUUUUGCUUAGUUGUCAAUUUAUUUUAAAAAGUCGUCACUUGAUGACAUUUUAACACCCCAAAGUAGGAAGACUGUAACUGCUCAUGUCAGAAUAAAGGAUACUAACA